This 468-nucleotide ribosomal RNA is filed under the name uncultured bacterium. RNAcentral's name for it is "partial 16S ribosomal RNA". It matches the Rfam family "Bacterial small subunit ribosomal RNA", at positions 28 to 507 of the family's 1533-position model. The record is from RNAcentral.
GACGAACGCUGGCGGCGUGCUUAACACAUGCAAGUCGAACAGAAAGGCCCUGCUUUUGUGGGGUGCUCGAGUGGCGAACGGGUGAGUAACACGUGAGUAACCUGCCCUUGACUUUGGGAUAACUUCAGGAAACUGGGGCUAAUACCGGAUAGGAGCUCCUGCUGCAUGGUGGGGGUUGGAAAGUUUCGGCGGUUGGGGAUGGACUCGCGGCUUAUCAGCUUGUUGGUGGGGUAGUGGCUUACCAAGGCUUUGACGGGUAGCCGGCCUGAGAGGGUGACCGGCCACAGUGGGACUGAGAUACGGCCCAGACUCCUACGGGAGGCAGCAGUGGGGAAUAUUGCACAAUGGGCGGAAGCCUGAUGCAGCAACGCCGCGUGCGGGAUGACGGCCUUCGGGUUGUAAACCGCUUUCGCCUGUGACGAAGCGUGAGUGACGGUAAUGGGUAAAGAAGCACCGGCUAACUACGUG